Molecule: ribosomal RNA, 467 nt
Filed under: uncultured bacterium
Lineage: Bacteria
Description: partial 16S ribosomal RNA
Rfam family: Bacterial small subunit ribosomal RNA
Source: RNAcentral
GACGAACGCUGGCGGCGUGCUUAACACAUGCAAGUCGAACGGAAAGGCCCUGCUUUUGUGGGGUGCUCGAGUGGCGAACGGGUGAGUAACACGUGAGUAACCUGCCCUUGACUUUGGGAUAACUUCAGGAAACUGGGGCUAAUACCGGAUAGGAGCUCCUGCUGCAUGGUGGGGGUUGGAAAGUUUCGGCGGUUGGGGAUGGACUCGCGGCUUAUCAGCUUGUUGGUGGGGUAGUGGCUUACCAAGGCUUUGACGGGUAGCCGGCCUGAGAGGGUGACCGGCCACAUUGGGACUGAGAUACGGCCCAGACUCCCACGGGAGGCAGCAGUGGGGAAUAUUGCACAAUGGGCGGAAGCCUGAUGCAGCAACGCCGCGUGCGGGAGGACGGCCUUCGGGUUGUAAACCGCUUUCGCCUGUGACGAAGCGUGAGUGACGGUAAUGGGGAAAGAAGCACCGGCUAACUACGU